This 107-nucleotide transfer RNA is filed under the name Chlamydomonas reinhardtii. It matches the Rfam family "tRNA". From Rfam's summary of the family: Transfer RNA (tRNA) molecules are approximately 80 nucleotides in length. Their secondary structure includes four short double-helical elements and three loops (D, anti-codon, and T loops). Lineage: Eukaryota; Viridiplantae; Chlorophyta; Chlorophyceae; Chlamydomonadales; Chlamydomonadaceae. The record is from Rfam by way of RNAcentral.
GGCGAGGUGGCCGAGCGGUCUAAGGCGCUAGUUUCAGGCACUACCCGAGUUAACUCAGGUGAAGCUACUAGUCCGAAAGGGCGUGAGUUCAAAUCUCACCCUCGUCA